RNAcentral lists this ribosomal RNA (253 nucleotides) under uncultured bacterium. Its description in RNAcentral is "partial 16S ribosomal RNA". It matches the Rfam family "Bacterial small subunit ribosomal RNA", at positions 524 to 776 of the family's 1533-position model. The record is from RNAcentral.
UACAUAGGGUGCGAGCGUUAAUCGGAAUUACUGGGCGUAAAGCGUGCGCAGGCGGUUUUGUAAGCCAGAUGUGAAAUCCCCGGGCUUAACCUGGGAAUGGCGUUUGAAACUACGGAGCUGGAGUGUGGCAGAGGGAGGUAGAAUUCCACGUGUAGCGGUGAAAUGCGUAGAUAUGUGGAGGAAUACCGAUGGCGAAGGCAGCCUCCUGGGCCAACACUGACGCUCAUGCACGAAAGCGUGGGGAGCAAACAGG